This 342-nucleotide unclassified non-coding RNA is filed under the name soil metagenome. Its description in RNAcentral is "partial contains 5.8S ribosomal RNA, internal transcribed spacer 2, and large subunit ribosomal RNA". The stretch from base 1 to 120 matches the Rfam family "5.8S ribosomal RNA", at positions 35 to 154 of the family's 154-position model. The record is from RNAcentral.
GAUGAAGAACGCAGUGAAAUGCGAUAAGUAAUGUGAAUUGCAGAAUUCAGUGAAUCAUCGAAUCUUUGAACGCACAUUGCGCCCGGGAGCAUUCUCCCGGGCAUGCCUGUUCGAGCGUCAUUUCAACCCUCGAUUUCCCUUUGGGGAAGUCGGCCGUUGGAGAUCGGCAGCACUGCCGGCUCCCAAAUACAGUGGCGACCCGCCGCGGGGACCCCUGCGUAGUAACUUACACUCGCACCGGAAACCAGACGUGUCACGCCGUAAAACCCCCAACUUUCUGAACGUUGACCUCGGAUCAGGUAGGAAUACCCGCUGAACUUAAGCAUAUUAAUAAGCGGAGGA